GAGGGUGUAGCUCAGUGGUAGAGUGUGUGCUUAGCAUGCACGACGUCCUGGGUUCAAUCCCCAGUGCCACCA
Molecule: transfer RNA, 72 nt
Filed under: Camelus bactrianus (Bactrian camel)
Lineage: Eukaryota; Metazoa; Chordata; Mammalia; Artiodactyla; Camelidae
Also listed under: 2 other names
Rfam family: tRNA
About the family: Transfer RNA (tRNA) molecules are approximately 80 nucleotides in length. Their secondary structure includes four short double-helical elements and three loops (D, anti-codon, and T loops).
Source: Rfam by way of RNAcentral